Molecule: ribosomal RNA, 486 nt
Filed under: uncultured Methanosaeta sp.
Lineage: Archaea; Methanobacteriati; Methanobacteriota; Methanomicrobia; Methanotrichales; Methanotrichaceae
Description: bacterial SSU rRNA
Rfam family: Archaeal small subunit ribosomal RNA
Source: RNAcentral
AAACUCAAAUGAAUUGACGGGGAGCACCACAACGGGUGGAGCUUGCGGUUUAAUUGGAUUCAACGCCGGAAAUCUUACCGGGACCGACAGCGAUAUGAAGGCCAGGCUGAAGACUUUGCCGGAUUAGCUGAGAGGUGGUGCAUGGCCGUCGUCAGUUCGUACUGUGAAGCAUCCUGUUAAGUCAGGCAACGAGCGAGACCCACGCCCACAGUUGCCAGCGUACUCUCCGGAGUGACGGGUACACUGUGGGGACCGCCGCUGCUAAAGCGGAGGAAGGAAUGGGCAACGGUAGGUCAGUAUGCCCCGAAUAUCCCGGGCUACACGCGAGCUACAAUGGUUGGUACAAUGGGUAUCUACCCCGAAAGGGGAUGGAAAUCUCCUAAAGCCAAUCUUAGUCCGGAUUGAGGGCUGCAACUCGCCCUCAUGAAGCUGGAAUCCGUAGUAAUCGCGUUUCAACAGAACGCGGUGAAUACGUCCCUGCUCCUU